UCCCUUGUAACUCAGUUAGUAAAGGAUCUGCCUGUAAUGCAGGAGACACAGGUUUGAUUCCUGUGUUGGGAA
Molecule: transfer RNA, 72 nt
Filed under: Ovis aries (sheep)
Lineage: Eukaryota; Metazoa; Chordata; Mammalia; Artiodactyla; Bovidae
Rfam family: tRNA
About the family: Transfer RNA (tRNA) molecules are approximately 80 nucleotides in length. Their secondary structure includes four short double-helical elements and three loops (D, anti-codon, and T loops).
Source: Rfam by way of RNAcentral